ACGGAGGGGGUUAGCGUUGUUCGGAAUUACUGGGCGUAAAGCGCGCGUAGGCGGAUCAGAAAGUAGAGGGUGAAAUCCCGGGGCUCAACCCUGGAACUGCCUUCUAAACUCCUGGUCUUGAGUUCGAGAGAGGUAAGUGGAAUUCCGAGUGUAGAGGUGAAAUUCGUAGAUAUUCGGAGGAACACCAGUGGCGAAGGCGGCUUACUGGCUCGAUACUGACGCUGAGGUGCGAAAGCGUGGGGAGCAAACAGG
This 252-nucleotide ribosomal RNA is filed under the name uncultured bacterium. RNAcentral's name for it is "partial 16S ribosomal RNA". It matches the Rfam family "Bacterial small subunit ribosomal RNA", at positions 525 to 776 of the family's 1533-position model. The record is from RNAcentral.